UACGUAGGGGGCUAGCGUUGUCCGGAAUCAUUGGGCGUAAAGCGCGUGUAGGCGGUUCGGUAAGUCCGCUGUGAAAGUCGGGGGCUCAACCCUCGAAUGCCGGUGGAUACUGUCGGACUAGAGUACGGAAGAGGCGAGUGGAAUUCCUGGUGUAGCGGUGAAAUGCGCAGAUAUCAGGAGGAACACCAAUGGCGAAGGCAGCUCGCUGGGACGUUACUGACGCUGAGACGCGAAAGCGUGGGGAGCAAACAGG
Molecule: ribosomal RNA, 253 nt
Filed under: uncultured bacterium
Lineage: Bacteria
Description: partial 16S ribosomal RNA
Rfam family: Bacterial small subunit ribosomal RNA
Source: RNAcentral